This 57-nucleotide transfer RNA is filed under the name Ictidomys tridecemlineatus (thirteen-lined ground squirrel). RNAcentral describes it as "Spermophilus tridecemlineatus (thirteen-lined ground squirrel) tRNA". It matches the Rfam family "tRNA", at positions 9 to 63 of the family's 71-position model. Rfam says of the family: Transfer RNA (tRNA) molecules are approximately 80 nucleotides in length. The record is from Rfam by way of RNAcentral. Lineage: Eukaryota; Metazoa; Chordata; Mammalia; Rodentia; Sciuridae.
AGCUCAGUUGGUAGAGUGCUUGUCUUGCAUGCACGAGGCCCUGGGUUCAAUCCCCAG